RNAcentral lists this ribosomal RNA (782 nucleotides) under uncultured Neocallimastigales. RNAcentral describes it as "partial large subunit ribosomal RNA". It matches the Rfam family "Eukaryotic large subunit ribosomal RNA", at positions 24 to 627 of the family's 3401-position model. The record is from RNAcentral. Lineage: Eukaryota; Fungi; Neocallimastigomycota; Neocallimastigomycetes; Neocallimastigales.
UAUCUCUGUAGAGUCUGCAUAUCAAUAAGCGGAGGAAAAGAAACUAACUAGGAUUCCCUCAGUAACGGCGAGUGAAGCGGGAAGAGCUCAAAUUUGAAAUCUUCAAGGUUCUACCUUGACGAAUUGUAGUUUAAAGAAGUGUUUUCUGUUGGAGUUUUGGUAAAAGUUCUUUGGAAUAGGACAUCAUAGAGGGUGAGAAUCCCGUAUUUGACCAUUAGUUUCCAGCUUUGUGAUACACUUUCAAGGAGUCGGAUUGUUUGGGAAUGCAGUCCAAAAUGGGUGGUAAAUUUCAUCUAAAGCUAAAUAUUGGCGAGAGACCGAUAGCGAACAAGUACCGUGAGGGAAAGAUGAAAAGAACUUUGAAAAGAGAGUUAAACAGUACGUGAAAUUGUCAAAAGGGAAGCGUUUGACACCAGUGUUGUUUUCUCGAAAAUCAAUUAAAAAAGGCAGGAUUUUGUGUUGUAUUGACUUUAUCAGCUUUCUGCACUCUUUUCUUGUCUUUUUUUAAUGCACUUUUCGUUUAACAAGUCAACAUCAAUUUCUUUUGUUGUAAAAGGGUCAUUGGAAGGUGGCUUUCUUUUCGGAGAAAGUGUUUAUAGCCUUUGGCCUCUGCAAUCGGAGAGAUUGAGGUCUGCAGCGUAGAUCCUUCGGGGUUAGAUACAGUUAGAUGCUAAGUUAUAGCCUUUUCUAUAGACAACUUGUUGACUAUAAUUCAUCAUGUAGCUUACUCGCUUAUGCGCUAUUUUACCUACGCUUAGGAUGUUGACGAUCAGCUGAGCGCG